Molecule: long non-coding RNA, 264 nt
Organism: Cotesia glomerata
Lineage: Eukaryota; Metazoa; Arthropoda; Insecta; Hymenoptera; Braconidae
Exons: 3
Source: RefSeq, a predicted model, not a curated record
UAGUCCAUAGAGACACAAACACAUAAAUGUAUAGGAUUAAGUCGGCGAGAGAAUGAGAUAGAACACAUUAGACGUUCUCGGUCUCUUCUUUGUGCGACUCUUCGUAGCAUCCCCACUAUCGUCUACUAAACAUUGUCCAUAUGUAUGCUCCUGUGUAAUGGGAUAGUCAGUUUAUCUAUAUCUAUAUCUUGCUCCAGGUCCGAGCGUUCUACGUGUUUAUGUUAGUAUGUGUUUAAUGCAUGUAUUAAAAAAACGAAUCAAAUA